This 67-nucleotide ribosomal RNA is filed under the name uncultured Hygrocybe. RNAcentral describes it as "partial 5.8S ribosomal RNA". It matches the Rfam family "5.8S ribosomal RNA", at positions 49 to 115 of the family's 154-position model. Rfam says of the family: 5.8S ribosomal RNA (5.8S rRNA) is a component of the large subunit of the eukaryotic ribosome. RNAcentral also lists the same sequence under 1 other name. Lineage: Eukaryota; Fungi; Basidiomycota; Agaricomycetes; Agaricales; Hygrophoraceae. The record is from RNAcentral.
CGAAAUGCGAUACGUAAUGUGAAUUGCAGAAUUCCGUGAAUCAUCGAAUCUUUGAACGCACCUUGCG